CGGGGUCCUGUUCCGCCUGACGGGGCAGCCGGCGUGCCGGGCCUUCCUCCUGACCUCCGUGGUGUUGUUGAUGGUUCUUCUGACGGGCGUCAUCGUCUUCCUCAUCACAUCUUCAGUGCCUCAGAGCUGACGGGAACCGGGGAGAUGUGGACUUUGAUCCGCUCAGGAGAUCCAGAGGAUUCCGAUUCUGUUUCUGAUCUAAAAUUUCAAACCAGAAAAGUUUCAUCUGAGCCGAAUGUGGAUUUAAUCUGGUCCCGAUGUGCAGGAGGCCACAGUCUCCUUGUUCCAGUUAAAGGGUCAGAGUGUGGAGGGACGCCACAGGGCUGAGAACAGAUUAAAGGGUCAGGGGUCAGCUGCAGAUUAAAAGUGAGACUCCUGAUUUGUGGGGCGGGUUUCGUUUGGGUUUGUCUUCGGUUUCCUCCCGUCUCCACCUGAUCCUAAACUCGGGAUGUUUGAUGGCCAGUUUGCAGCUCCUGGUCGGAUUUUUCCUCAUAGCCAGUUGUUGUUUGUAGGAAUCAUGCAAACGAGCCGAGCGUCGGCGGUUCCGCUGCAGCGCUCAGACAAAAGCCUUCAGUCCGACCUGGACGGGUUCGUCCACUCAUUCAAAUUCAGAAGCUCUCCACACCAGCAGCGUUGUUCUGACACCUCGGUUUUCUCCAGAAGAGAAUAAACGGCUGUAGCUCUACGGCAGAGCAGCUUCCUGGUGACGUUCACGCAGGCGGCGGAGUUCUCCGAACCGCCAAAGGUGUUCACCUGCAAGGACACACCUGAGAGGGCGCUGGGGGAGGGGGUGGAGUUCGGAGCAUUCAGCCACUCAGCUGGUCUGCUUGGAUCUGCAGGUCAGACCCCGAUGGACCCCCGCUGAGCUGAACCCCUCUCGGGUGGAACCUCCGUCCAGUUCUAACUGGCUGACGGCUUCGGAUGCAGAUCAGACCCCCUCGUCAUCCUGUUUUGACUUUCAAAUGAAGCUGAAAUCGGAGACUGCUUUCACUGUCGUCCUGAAACCCGACCCAUUAACAGCUGUCUUGUUUUCAGCGUCAGGUGUUUGAAUCUCAGAAGAAACGUUUUAUUUGCUGUUUUUGACCUGAGUUCUGGUUUUACGUUGUCUGUUUGAGGCUCCGCCUUUUUACUGUCAAGUCGUUUUAUGUAUUUAUAACCUUUUAAGCAAAGCUGGCGUCUUCUUUUGUAUAAAAUUUAAAUAAAGUUUAAAUUGAAUCCAUCA
Non-coding RNA from Nothobranchius furzeri (turquoise killifish), 1222 nucleotides. The record is from RefSeq and is a predicted model, not a curated record. Lineage: Eukaryota; Metazoa; Chordata; Actinopteri; Cyprinodontiformes; Nothobranchiidae.